RNAcentral lists this ribosomal RNA (272 nucleotides) under uncultured bacterium. Its description in RNAcentral is "partial 16S ribosomal RNA". The record is from RNAcentral.
CUGCUGCCUCCCGUAGGAGUUUGGGCCGUGUCUCAGUCCCAAUGUGGCCGUCCACCCUCUCAGGCCGGCUACUGAUCGUCGCCUUGGUGGGCCUUUACCCCGCCAACCAGCUAAUCAGACGCGGGUCCAUCCCAUACCACCUUGGUUUUCAAACAAAAAGCAUGCGCUUUCUGUUGUUAUGCGGUAUUAGCACCUAUUUCUAAGUGUUAUCCCCCUGUAUGGGCCAGGUUACCCACGCGUUACUCACCCGUCCGCCACUAAGCCUUUCCUUU